AAAAGUAAAAAUAAAACAUCAUAGAUAUGGAUGAAUAAAAUUGUAUUCCAUUGAUGAUAAUAAGGAAAAUGAAAAACAAUGUUCACUUCUCCCUUAGGCAUAUGAUAAGACUUUUUUCUAAAAAUAAUAAAAACAAAUUACUUAGAAUAAUGAAUUACAUUAGGAACAUCAACAGCAACCCAAUUGUUACAAGUCUAGCCAUGCGUCAC
RNAcentral lists this long non-coding RNA (209 nucleotides) under Lathyrus oleraceus (garden pea). RNAcentral's name for it is "Pisum sativum (pea) long non-coding RNA (PSAT_LNC015971)". The record is from RNAcentral. Lineage: Eukaryota; Viridiplantae; Streptophyta; Magnoliopsida; Fabales; Fabaceae.